GUAAUAGUAGGUUAAAAUAAACUUUUAGUUGGUGGAGCUAUAUAUUUUUUUUUUUUAAAAAAAAAAAAAAAACUAUUAUA
RNAcentral lists this transfer RNA (80 nucleotides) under Semnoderes armiger. RNAcentral's name for it is "tRNA-His". The record is from RNAcentral. Lineage: Eukaryota; Metazoa; Kinorhyncha; Cyclorhagida; Kentrorhagata; Semnoderidae.